CCUCCGCCUCUGAGUAUCAAAUAGAACUAAAACGAUAAAGAGAAAAUUAGCAUGACCUCUACACAAGGAUAACACGCACAAAUCAAGAAAAAAUUAUUUAAAUUUU
Molecule: small nuclear RNA, 106 nt
Organism: Cannabis sativa
Lineage: Eukaryota; Viridiplantae; Streptophyta; Magnoliopsida; Rosales; Cannabaceae
Source: RefSeq, a predicted model, not a curated record